CCUACGGGUGGCAGCAGUGGGGAAUAUUGCACAAUGGGGGAAACCCUGAUGCAGCGACGCCGCGUGAGUGAAGAAGUAUUUCGGUAUGUAAAGCUCUGUCAGCAGGGAAGAAAAUGACGGUACCUGCCCAAGAAUCCCCGGCUAACUACGUGCCAGCAGCCGCGGUAAUACGUAGGGGGCAAGCGUUAUCCGGAUUUACUGGGUGUAAAGGGGGCGUAGACGGCAGGGCAAGUCUGGAGUGAAAGGCGGGGGCUCAACCCCCGGACUGCUCUGGAAACUGCCAGGCUGGAGUGCAGGAGAGGUAAGUGGAAUUCCGAGUGUAGCGGUGAAAUGCGUAGAUAUUAGGAGGAACACCAGUGGCGAAGGCGGCUUACUGGACUGUAACUGACGUUGAGGCGCGAAAGCGUGGGGAGCAAACAGGAUUAGAUACCCUAGUAGUC
This 440-nucleotide ribosomal RNA is filed under the name uncultured bacterium. RNAcentral's name for it is "partial 16S ribosomal RNA". It matches the Rfam family "Bacterial small subunit ribosomal RNA", at positions 338 to 795 of the family's 1533-position model. The record is from RNAcentral.